CCUACGGGAGGCAGCAGUGAGGAAUAUUGGUCAAUGGGCGAGAGCCUGAACCAGCCAAGUCGCGUGAGGGAUGACGGCCCUACGGGUUGUAAACCUCUUUUGCCGGGGAGCAACUGGCGCCACGUGUGGCGCCACUGAGAGUACCCGGAGAAAAAGCAUCGGCUAACUCCGUGCCAGCAGCCGCGGUAAUACGGAGGAUGCGAGCGUUAUCCGGAUUUAUUGGGUUUAAAGGGUGCGUAGGCGGGACGUUAAGUCAGCGGUAAAAUUUCGGGGCUCAACCCCGUCCGGCCAUUGAAACUGGUGCUCUUGAGUGGACGAGAAGUAUGCGGAAUGCGUGGUGUAGCGGUGAAAUGCAUAGAUAUCACGCAGAACCCCGAUUGCGAAGGCAGCAUGCCGGCUUCCGACUGACGCUGAAGCACGAAAGCGUGGGGAUCGAACAGGAUUAGAUACCCGAGUAGUC
This 460-nucleotide ribosomal RNA is filed under the name uncultured bacterium. RNAcentral describes it as "partial 16S ribosomal RNA". It matches the Rfam family "Bacterial small subunit ribosomal RNA", at positions 338 to 795 of the family's 1533-position model. The record is from RNAcentral.